UACAACGAAGAGUUUGAUCCUGGCUCAGGAUGAACGCUAGCGGCAGGCCUAACACAUGCAAGUCGAACGGUAAGUUAAAAGCUUGCUUUUAACACGAGUGGCGCACGGGUGCGUAACGCGUAUGCAAUCUACCCUAUUCUGGAGAAUAGCCCUUAGAAAUGAGGAUUAAUACUCCAUAGUAUUACAAUUUCGCAUGUUAUUGUAAUUAAAGCUUCGGCGGAAUAGGAUGAGCAUGCGUCCCAUUAGAUAGUUGGUGAGGUAACGGCUCACCAAGUCUGCGAUGGGUAGGGGGCCUGAGAGGGUUAUCCCCCACACUGGUACUGAGACACGGACCAGACUCCUACGGGAGGCAGCAGUGAGGAAUAUUGGUCAAUGGACGAAAGUCUGAACCAGCCAUGCCGCGUGCAGGAUGACUGCCCUACGGGUUGUAAACUGCUUUUAUAUAGGAAGAAACCCCUCUACGUGUAGAGGGCUGACGGUACUAUAAGAAUAAGGACCGGCUAACUCCGUGCCAGCAGCCGCGGUAAUACGGAGGGUCCAAGCGUUAUCCGGAUUCAUUGGGUUUAAAGGGUACGUAGGCGGAAUUUUAAGUCAGUAGUGAAAGCCCAUCGCUUAACGAUGGAACUGCUAUUGAUACUGGAAUUCUUGAAUAUAGUUGAAGUUGGCGGAAUACGGCAUGUAGCGGUGAAAUGCAUAGAUAUGCCGUGGAACACCGAUCGCGAAGGCAGCUAACUAAGCUAUUAUUGACGCUGAGGUACGAAAGCGUGGGGAGCGAACAGGAUUAGAUACCCUGGUAGUCCACGCCGUAAACUAUGAUUACUCGGUGCUGGCGAUAUACUGUCAGUGCCUAAGCGAAAGUGAUAAGUAAUCCACCUGGGGAGUACGAUCGCAAGGUUGAAACUCAAAGGAAUUGACGGGGGCCCGCACAAGCGGUGGAGCAUGUGGUUUAAUUCGAUGAUACGCGAGGAACCUUACCUGGGCUUAAAUGCAUAAUGAUGGACUGAGAAAUCAGUCGUUCUUCGGACAGAAUGCAAGGUGCUGCAUGGCUGUCGUCAGCUCGUGCUGUGAGGUGUCGGGUUAAGUCCCAUAACGAGCGCAACCCCUAUUUCUAGUUGCCAGCACAUAAUGGUGGGGACUCUAGAGAAACUGCCCGCGCAAGCGGUGAGGAAGGUGGGGACGACGUCAAGUCAUCACGGCCCUUACGUCCAGGGCUACACACGUGCUACAAUGGUAGAGACAGAGGGCAGCCACUUGGUGACAAGGAGCUAAUCCUUAAACUCUAUCUCAGUUCGGAUUGAAGUCUGCAACUCGACUUCAUGAAGCUGGAAUCGCUAGUAAUCGCAUAUCAGCCAUGAUGCGGUGAAUACGUUCCCGGGCCUUGUACACACCGCCCGUCAAGCCAUGGAAGCCGAGGGUACCUGAAGUCGGUAACCGCAAGGAGCCGCCUAGGGUAAAAUCGGUAACUGGGGCUAAGUCGUAACAAGGUAGCCGUACCGGAAGGUGCGGCUGGAAUACCUCCUUUUUAGAG
RNAcentral lists this ribosomal RNA (1528 nucleotides) under Flavobacteriales bacterium. RNAcentral describes it as "bacterial SSU rRNA". It matches the Rfam family "Bacterial small subunit ribosomal RNA". Lineage: Bacteria; Pseudomonadati; Bacteroidota; Flavobacteriia; Flavobacteriales. The record is from RNAcentral.